UACGAAGGGUGCAAGCGUUACUCGGAAUCAUUGGGCGUAAAGCGCGUGUAGGCGGCUUGGUAAGUCUGCUCUGAAAGCCCGGGGCUCAACCCCGGGAGGCGGGUGGAUACUGCUGAGCUCGAGUCCGGAAGAGGCGAGUGGAAUUCCUGGUGUAGCGGUGAAAUGCGCAGAUAUCAGGAGGAACACCGGUGGCGAAGGCGGCAUCCUGGACCAACACUGACACUGAGGAGCGAAAGCCAGGGGAGCAAACGGG
Molecule: ribosomal RNA, 253 nt
Filed under: uncultured bacterium
Lineage: Bacteria
Description: partial 16S ribosomal RNA
Rfam family: Bacterial small subunit ribosomal RNA
Source: RNAcentral